GAUGAACGCUAGCUACAGGCUUAACACAUGCAAGUCGAGGGGAAACGAUAGAGAAAGCUUGCUUUUUCUAGGCGUCGACCGGCGCACGGGUGAGUAACGCGUAUCCAACCUGCCCACCACUUGGGGAUAACCUUGCGAAAGUAAGACUAAUACCCAAUGACGUCCAUAGAAGACAUCUGAAAUGGAUUAAAGAUUUAUCGGUGAUGGAUGGGGAUGCGUCUGAUUAGCUUGUUGGCGGGGUAACGGCCCACCAAGGCGACGAUCAGUAGGGGUUCUGAGAGGAAGGGCCCCCACAUUGGAAUCGAGACACGGUCCAAACUCCUACGGGAGGCAGCAGUGAGGAAUAUUGGUCAAUGGUGGAGAGCCUGAACCAGCCAAGUAGCGUGCAGUAUGACGGCCCUAUGGGUUGUAAACUGCUUUUAUAAGGGAAUAAAGUGAGUCUCGUGAGACUUUUUGCACGUACCUUAUGAAUAAGGACCGGCUAAUUCCGUGCCAGCCGCCGCCGUAA
This 508-nucleotide ribosomal RNA is filed under the name uncultured bacterium. RNAcentral's name for it is "partial 16S ribosomal RNA". It matches the Rfam family "Bacterial small subunit ribosomal RNA", at positions 28 to 523 of the family's 1533-position model. The record is from RNAcentral.